RNAcentral lists this ribosomal RNA (253 nucleotides) under uncultured bacterium. RNAcentral's name for it is "partial 16S ribosomal RNA". It matches the Rfam family "Bacterial small subunit ribosomal RNA", at positions 524 to 776 of the family's 1533-position model. The record is from RNAcentral.
GACGGAGGGUGCUAGCGUUGUUCGGAAUCACUGGGCGUAAAGGGCGCGUAGGCGGCCUCAGGUGUCGGAUGUGAAAGCCCGGGGCUCAACCCCGGAGGUGCAUCCGAAACUCUGGGGCUGGAGGUCGGAAGAGGUGGGUGGAAUACCCAGUGUAGAGGUGAAAUUCGUAGAUAUUGGGUGGAACACCGGUGGCGAAGGCGGCUCACUGGUCCGGUUCUGACGCUGAGGCGCGAAAGCGUGGGGAGCAAACAGG